UACGUAGGGGGCAAGCGUUGUCCGGAAUCAUUGGGCGUAAAGCGCGUGUAGGCGGCUUGAUAAGUCUGCUCUGAAAGCCCGGGGCUCAACCCUGGGAGGCGGGUGGAUACUGUCGAGCUCGAGUCCGGAAGAGGCGAGUGGAAUUCCUGGUGUAGCGGUGAAAUGCGCAGAUAUCAGGAGGAACACCAAUAGCGAAGGCAGCUCGCUGGGACGGUAUUGACGCUAAGGCGCGAAAGCGUGGGGAGCAAACAGG
RNAcentral lists this ribosomal RNA (253 nucleotides) under uncultured bacterium. RNAcentral describes it as "partial 16S ribosomal RNA". It matches the Rfam family "Bacterial small subunit ribosomal RNA", at positions 524 to 776 of the family's 1533-position model. The record is from RNAcentral.